This 201-nucleotide ribosomal RNA is filed under the name uncultured bacterium. RNAcentral's name for it is "partial 16S ribosomal RNA". It matches the Rfam family "Bacterial small subunit ribosomal RNA", at positions 1300 to 1500 of the family's 1533-position model. The record is from RNAcentral.
GCAGGCUGCAACUCGCCUGCAUGAAGUUGGAAUUGCCNGUAAUCGCGAAUCAGAAUGUCGCGGUGAAUACGUUCCCGGGCCUUGUACACACCGCCCGUCACACCAUGAGAGUCGAUAACACCCGAAGCCUGUGAGCUAACCGUAAGGAGGCAGCAGUCGAAGGUGGGGUUGAUGAUUGGGGUGAAGUCGUAACAAGGUAUC